Molecule: long non-coding RNA, 727 nt
Organism: Triplophysa dalaica
Lineage: Eukaryota; Metazoa; Chordata; Actinopteri; Cypriniformes; Nemacheilidae
Exons: 3
Source: RefSeq, a predicted model, not a curated record
UCAUGUCUUUUAUCAACCUCUCGCUCCUCAUUAAAUCCUGCUAGUAAAUGUAUGAGUAGCGUGAAGAGCCUCUCUACAGGACUGUGGAACUUGUUCUCUCGUAGUAGACAUCGUCCUGCCCGAAUCACAGAAGCCCCCUUGUGAACAACCCACCAUUGUCUUUGUUUUUGUCUCUCUUUUUAACUGUCUUUCUUUCCUUCUCUUACACACAUUCUCCACAACUGACUCAAUGAAUCAUUAUUCAACUGGCCAACUUUAUCAAAGAUGCAUUUCCACGUCUGAGACUCAAUGGGAAAUUCUGACCCCGGCAAUAGCUGCUGAAUUAUGAAGACCACCAAUGAAGAUGUUUGCCUUUCUCAAUCAGGUGUGAGCUGAAGGUGACCACAAAAGAGCCUGGCAGCAGAAUUGCAGAACCAUCUCUCCCACUACGGACCUAAUUAGAACCUUCCGCUGACCCCAAGUGAGCGCCGAGAAGAUGCCACACGCCUCGGCCGUCAUGGAAACAAGACGGUCCCGUCCUGAGACCGGUUUCCUUACAGAGUGAAUCAUGUUCUGGCUCACAGAUACAAAUGAAGUCUGCGGUCGCCCUCUUGUAGUGGUUUACAAUAUCUCAACAUCUCGCAGCUGGUUUGAAGCCUCAUUUCAGAUAAACCGGGAGAUGUCCUACGACAAAGUCUCUGGAGAAAUUGGGCAUUAACGUUGACCAUCGGUUCAGACACCUCCUGGG